AUGCAACACUGGUUAGUCUAACGCUAUAGAUAUGGAUGAUAUUUUAGAUAUCUAUAUAUACAUUUUUGCAGCCAUUUUGUAAAAUAAAUCCUAGAGUUAGAAUUUAUUUACAGUGGCUGCCACUGACAUUUAAUAAUUGUUUUUGAUAAUUAAAAAGAAAAUCUUUGAAUUAAAUAUUUGACAAUCUUCCCAAAAUCUCUCCACAUUAAUUACACGAUUAGUUACUAAAAUAAAACUUCCCAAAA
Molecule: small RNA, 245 nt
Filed under: Arabidopsis thaliana (thale cress)
Lineage: Eukaryota; Viridiplantae; Streptophyta; Magnoliopsida; Brassicales; Brassicaceae
Description: ATSL129300
Source: RNAcentral